This 1465-nucleotide ribosomal RNA is filed under the name Escherichia coli. Its description in RNAcentral is "bacterial SSU rRNA". It matches the Rfam family "Bacterial small subunit ribosomal RNA". Lineage: Bacteria; Pseudomonadati; Pseudomonadota; Gammaproteobacteria; Enterobacterales; Enterobacteriaceae. The record is from RNAcentral.
CUUUGCUGACGAGUGGCGGACGGGUGAGUAAUGUCUGGGAAACUGCCYGAUGGAGGGGGAUAACUACUGGAAACGGUAGCUAAUACCGCAUAACGUCGCAAGACCAAAGAGGGGGACCUUAGGGCCUCUUGCCAUCGGAUGUGCCCAGAUGGGAUUAGCUAGUAGGUGGGGUAACGGCUCACCUAGGCGACGAUCCCUAGCUGGUCUGAGAGGAUGACCAGCCACACUGGAACUGAGACACGGUCCAGACUCCUACGGGAGGCAGCAGUGGGGAAUAUUGCACAAUGGGCGCAAGCCUGAUGCAGCCAUGCCGCGUGUAUGAAGAAGGCCUUCGGGUUGUAAAGUACUUUCAGCGGGGAGGAAGGGAGUAAAGUUAAUACCUUUGCUCAUUGACGUUACCCGCAGAAGAAGCACCGGCUAACUCCGUGCCAGCAGCCGCGGUAAUACGGAGGGUGCAAGCGUUAAUCGGAAUUACUGGGCGUAAAGCGCACGCAGGCGGUUUGUUAAGUCAGAUGUGAAAUCCCCGGGCUCAACCUGGGAACUGCAUCUGAUACUGGCAAGCUUGAGUCUCGUAGAGGGGGGUAGAAUUCCAGGUGUAGCGGUGAAAUGCGUAGAGAUCUGGAGGAAUACCGGUGGCGAAGGCGGCCCCCUGGACGAAGACUGACGCUCAGGUGCGAAAGCGUGGGGAGCAAACAGGAUUAGAUACCCUGGUAGUCCACGCCGUAAACGAUGUCGACUUGGAGGUUGUGCCCUUGAGGCGUGGCUUCCGGAGCUAACGCGUUAAGUCGACCGCCUGGGGAGUACGGCCGCAAGGUUAAAACUCAAAUGAAUUGACGGGGGCCCGCACAAGCGGUGGAGCAUGUGGUUUAAUUCGAUGCAACGCGAAGAACCUUACCUGGUCUUGACAUCCACGGAAGUUUUCAGAGAUGAGAAUGUGCCUUCGGGAACCGUGAGACAGGUGCUGCAUGGCUGUCGUCAGCUCGUGUUGUGAAAUGUUGGGUUAAGUCCCGCAACGAGCGCAACCCUUAUCCUUUGUUGCCAGCGGUCCGGCCGGGAACUCAAAGGAGACUGCCAGUGAUAAACUGGAGGAAGGUGGGGAUGACGUCAAGUCAUCAUGGCCCUUACGACCAGGGCUACACACGUGCUACAAUGGCGCAUACAAAGAGAAGCGACCUCGCGAGAGCAAGCGGACCUCAUAAAGUGCGUCGUAGUCCGGAUUGGAGUCUGCAACUCGACUCCAUGAAGUCGGAAUCGCUAGUAAUCGUGGAUCAGAAUGCCACGGUGAAUACGUUCCCGGGCCUUGUACACACCGCCCGUCACACCAUGGGAGUGGGUUGCAAAAGAAGUAGGUAGCUUAACCUUCGGGAGGGCGCUUACCACUUUGUGAUUCAUGACUGGGGUGAAGUCGUAACAAGGUAACCGUAGGGGAACCUGCGGUUGGAUCACCUCCUUACCUUAAAGAAGC